Molecule: unclassified non-coding RNA, 1340 nt
Filed under: Lytechinus variegatus (green sea urchin)
Lineage: Eukaryota; Metazoa; Echinodermata; Echinoidea; Temnopleuroida; Toxopneustidae
Description: polycomb protein eed-like, transcript variant X1
Source: RNAcentral
CGCCGGGGCGCACGUGACAUCAGAUAUGGCUGACAAAAACAAAGCGGGUGUUUCGAACACACGAACAGAAGGAAUCACUCUCAAUAAACAAGCAUUACAAGCAACCAAAGACGAUAAUGCAUCUGUUCCUAUUCCUGGAGGCAUUAGUGAAUCUAUGAUGAUGGACAUCGAUGACUCCAAGAGCGAGACAACGAGUCAGUCUCAUGACAGCACCAACUCCAGGUCGGAAACCCCAACCAGUAUGGUUACUACAGGCUCAGAUCAGGCCCUCGUAGCCAAGAGAUGGGCAAGGGGUAGAUGGAAGUCAAAGAAAUGCAAGUGGCAGUUCAAGUAUAGUUGUCACGUUAAGGAGGACCACGGACAGCCAAUAUUUGGAGUAAUCUUCAAUCCGUAUCGGAAGGAAAAUGACCCAAAUGUCUUCUGUUCAGUCGGUAGUAAUCGUGUAUCGAUCUAUGAGCUUCACGACGACGGAAAGAUAAAACUGCUGCAGAGCUAUGUGGAUACAGACUCUGAUGAAAACUUCUACACUUGUGCAUGGACGUACGAAGAGAGAACGGGUCUCCUUCUCUUAGCUGUGGCAGGCUCCAGAGGCGUCAUCAGAAUCAUCAGCCCUAUAACUCUACAGUGUAUCAAGCAUUUCAUCGCCCAUGGCAACGCAGUAAAUGAAUUGAAGACACACCCGCAUGAUUCUAACCUACUUCUCUCAGUCAGCAAAGAUCAUUCGGUCAGAUUGUGGAAUCUGAAGACAGACACAUUGGUCGCCAUCUUUGGUGGGGUCGAAGGUCAUCGAGAUGAAGUUCUAUCAGGGGACUUUGACAUCGAUGGUCUGAGGAUAGCAUCGUGCGGUAUGGACCAUUCACUCAAAAUAUGGAAUCUACAGAAGGCCAAUAUUCAACAAGCAAUUCAGGAGUCACACGCAUACACUGCAUCUAAGACAAAUAAGCCAUUCAAGUCUCUGUAUGUAAACACACCUGACUUCACAACCCGUGACAUCCAUAGGAACUAUGUUGAUUGUGUGCGCUGGCUGGGUGACUUUGUGCUUUCCAAGUCUUGUGAGAAUUGCAUCGUUUGUUGGAAACCUGGCGGUAUCCAUGACCCCGUAGAGAUUAUCAAGCCUUCCAUGUCAGAGGUCACCGUCUUGACCCAGUCCAAUUACACUAAUAUCAAACAUUUUAUCUUGCACCCUUACUGUACAUAACCUCUUUUCAUCCCCACAGUCUUGUGAGAAUUGCAUCGUUUGUUGGAAACCUGGCGGUAUCCAUGACCCCGUAGAGAUUAUCAAGCCUUCCAUGUCAGAGGUCACGGUCUUGACCAGGUUCAACUACACACAAUGUGACAUU